RNAcentral lists this ribosomal RNA (508 nucleotides) under uncultured bacterium. RNAcentral describes it as "SSU rRNA". It matches the Rfam family "Bacterial small subunit ribosomal RNA", at positions 26 to 521 of the family's 1533-position model. The record is from RNAcentral.
AGGACGAACGCUGGCGGCGUGCCUAACACAUGCAAGUCGAGCGGAAAGGCCUCCUUCGGGAGGUACUCGAGCGGCGAACGGGUGAGUAACACGUGGGCAACCAACCCCUCACAUCGGGAUACCCCGGGGAAACUCGGAUCAAUACCGGAUAAUGCGCGACGCUGUUGGGCGUCGCACCAAAGGUAGCUUCGGCCUCUGGUGAGGGACGGGCCCGCGGCCCAUUAGCUUGUUGGUGGGGUAAUGGCCUACCAAGGCAACGAUGGGUAGCUGGUCUGAGAGGAUGAUCAGCCACACUGGGACUGAGAUACGGCCCAGACUCCUACGGGAGGCAGCAGUGGGGAAUAUUGCGCAAUGGGCGGAAGCCUGACGCAGCAACGCCGCGUGCGGGAGGAAGGCCUUCGGGUCGUAAACCGCUUUCAGGGGGGACGAAGCCACCAGGGUUAAUAGCCCAUGGGGUGACGGUACUCCCAGAAGAAGCCCCGGCUAACUACGUGCCAGCGGCCGCGGU